This 253-nucleotide ribosomal RNA is filed under the name uncultured bacterium. RNAcentral's name for it is "partial 16S ribosomal RNA". It matches the Rfam family "Bacterial small subunit ribosomal RNA", at positions 524 to 776 of the family's 1533-position model. The record is from RNAcentral.
UACGGAGGUUGCAAGCGUUGUUCGGAAUUACUGGGCGUAAAGGGCGCGUAGGCGGUUUCUUAAGUCUGACGUGAAAGCCCCAAGCUUAACUUGGGAACUGCAUCUGAUACUGGGAGACUUGAGUUCGGGAGAGGAAUGUGGAAUUCCAGGUGUAGCGGUGAAAUGCGUAGAUAUCUGGAGGAACACCGGUGGCGAAGGCGGCAUUCUGGACCGAAACUGACGCUGAGGCGCGAAAGCCAGGGGAGCAAACGGG